This 169-nucleotide ribosomal RNA is filed under the name uncultured bacterium. Its description in RNAcentral is "partial 16S rRNA". It matches the Rfam family "Bacterial small subunit ribosomal RNA", at positions 338 to 524 of the family's 1533-position model. The record is from RNAcentral.
CCUACGGGAGGCAGCAGUGGGGAAUAUUGGACAAUGGGCGCAAGCCUGAUCCAGCCAUGCCGCGUGGGUGAUGAAGGCCUUMGGGUUGUAAAGCCCUUUCGGCGGGAAGAUAAUGACGGUGACCCGGAGAAGAAGCCCCGGCUAACUUCGUGCCAGCAGCCGCGGUAAU